GAUGAACGCUAGCGGCAGGCUUAACACAUGCAAGUCGAGGGGUAUUGUAGCAAUACAAGAGACCGGCGCACGGGUGCGUAACGCGUAUGCAAUCUACCUUUUGCAGAGGGAUAGCCCAGAGAAAUUUGGAUUAAUACCUCAUAGUAUAAUUAUUUGGCAUCGAGUAAUUAUUAAAGUAACAACGGAAAAAGAUGAGCAAGCGUCCCAUUAGCUAGAUGGUAAGGUAACGGCUUACAAUGGGUACGAUGGGUAGGGGUCAUGAGAGGGAGAUCCCCCACACUGGUACUGAGACACGGACCAGACUCCUACGGGAGGCAGCAGUGAGGAAUAUUGGACAAUGGGCGCAAGCCUGAUCCAGCCAUGCCGCGUGCAGGAUGAAGGUCCUAUGGAUUGUAAACUGCUUUUAUACGAGAAGAAACACUUCCUCGUGAGGGAGCUUGACGGUAUCGUAAGAAUAAGGAUCGGCUAACUCCGUGCCAGCCGCCGCGGUAAUAC
This 495-nucleotide ribosomal RNA is filed under the name uncultured bacterium. RNAcentral describes it as "bacterial SSU rRNA". It matches the Rfam family "Bacterial small subunit ribosomal RNA", at positions 28 to 526 of the family's 1533-position model. The record is from RNAcentral.